Oncorhynchus nerka (sockeye salmon) is the source of this 1312-nucleotide long non-coding RNA. RefSeq lists it as uncharacterized. The transcript is spliced from 4 exons. The record is from RefSeq and is a predicted model, not a curated record. NCBI's taxonomy places the organism in Eukaryota, Metazoa, Chordata, Actinopteri, Salmoniformes, Salmonidae.
GAUCCUGUUCCUUCUACUGGGGUGUGCCACUACUGUGUCCUGUAUCACACAGGAAUAUUUCAUUGGAAUUAAGGAGAUCCAGUGGGAUUAUGGUCCAGCUGGGGAAAACAAUCCUCAUCAAAACGCUGAAGGAAGAUGAUCCAACAGAAGUGCAUCCCUCAGACCAUUUUGGGGCAUUGACAUCCUGUGCCAGUGUGAACAGAGCGCGAGUGUUCAGUUGUGGAGGCUACAGCUUGUGGGUGGACAGACAUCAGGCGCACCCCACGAGAAGCAGUGCAUGAUCAACACCACCCUCAGCAAGGAGAUCUGCUCUCUCACCCUCUCACUCUGGGGGCAUCAGCGGACAGCUGUUUGGGAACCUGCAGGUUCUGAACAUGGUGGUGGGGGACAGGGUGUACUGGUACCUGAAGGGGAUGGGCAAUGAGGUGGACAUCCACACUGCCUACUUCCAUGGACGCAUUGACCAGGGCAGUAAUUAAGUGGUAACACUCCCGGCACUUAUCGAAUACAAAUCUCCCCACUGGAGACCAGGGUUCAAUCUCUGCAGUCACAGUUUCUCCCACCUGCCUGUAUACUCUUCUGAUUUCUAUACGGUCUCAAUGAAUAAAAGGUAAGGUCCUAUAUGUGACAAGUUUAAAAAAAAUAAUUAGGUGAGGUAAACCUUUCCUGAAAUAUGCAUGAUAUGCCUUAUAUACGUUUUCUUCAAGCUGGUUACUUACCUGUUUUUUAAAAUAUAUAAAAUAAAAUAAAACUUAGGGUCACAUAUAGGACCUUACCUUUUGUUCAUUGAGACCUUUUAGUCAUUGGGACCCACAGGGUGUGCAGACUUUUAUUCUAGCCCAGGAAUAACACAUCUGAAUCUGACUUUCUCUCAUCCGGUGUUCCCCAGCUUAGUGGAAGGUCCUACCGGACAGUCAUGUUUCACCUAUCCUCAGCCACCUUCCAGACGGUGAAGAUGAAGCCUCAGUACCCUGGCUUCUGGUUCCUGCACUUCCACAUCAUGGCUGGUAUGGAGACCAUCUACACCACCAUUGAGAAAGGUGAGGAGUGUGUGUGAGUUCACUAUGUGAAGAGCGGUGUUACCUUAGCGUGUGUGUGUCUGUUUAUUUAAUCAUUUUGCUGUUACUCCUACUUGUGAAUGCUCAUACAACUAACCUCUCUGUGUGUUUUUGUGUCUUCAGUAUAAAGUUAAUUUUUUGGAUGAACGCGGUGCAAAACUUCAUUAAAACACAGAAACAGUUAAUAAAGCUAUUUACAUCUCUUCAGUAAUUAUAUAAUGACCUCGUAUUCCACACAAGGAGCACAGUGACUA